AGGCCUAACACAUGCAAGUCGAACGGUAGCACAGAGGAGCUUGCUCCUUGGGUGACGAGUGGCGGACGGGUGAGUAAUGUCUGGGAAACUGCCCGAUGGAGGGGGAUAACUACUGGAAACGGUAGCUAAUACCGCAUAACGUCGCAAGACCAAAGAGGGGGACCUUCGGGCCUCUUGCCAUCGGAUGUGCCCAGAUGGGAUUAGCUAGUAGGUGGGGUAACGGCUCACCUAGGCGACGAUCCCUAGCUGGUCUGAGAGGAUGACCAGCCACACUGGAACUGAGACACGGUCCAGACUCCUACGGGAGGCAGCAGUGGGGAAUAUUGCACAAUGGGCGCAAGCCUGAUGCAGCCAUGCCGCGUGUAUGAAGAAGGCCUUCGGGUUGUAAAGUACUUUCAGCG
This 401-nucleotide ribosomal RNA is filed under the name uncultured Pseudomonadota bacterium. Its description in RNAcentral is "bacterial SSU rRNA". It matches the Rfam family "Bacterial small subunit ribosomal RNA", at positions 44 to 441 of the family's 1533-position model. The record is from RNAcentral. Lineage: Bacteria; Pseudomonadati; Pseudomonadota.